GUUGCUCUGAUGAGCCUUAACAUGUAAGAAGACUCAUUCAAAAGGUUGGAUCUUCAAUGAGAUAUACUUGUUACGUUUGACUUCUGAGCUAC
RNAcentral lists this small nucleolar RNA (92 nucleotides) under Dichanthelium oligosanthes. RNAcentral describes it as "Small nucleolar RNA R24". It matches the Rfam family "Small nucleolar RNA R24". Rfam says of the family: snoR24 is a C/D box small nucleolar RNA which acts as a methylation guide for 18S ribosomal RNA in plants. The record is from Rfam by way of RNAcentral. Lineage: Eukaryota; Viridiplantae; Streptophyta; Magnoliopsida; Poales; Poaceae.